RNAcentral lists this ribosomal RNA (538 nucleotides) under uncultured bacterium. RNAcentral describes it as "bacterial SSU rRNA". It matches the Rfam family "Bacterial small subunit ribosomal RNA", at positions 361 to 909 of the family's 1533-position model. The record is from RNAcentral.
AUCUUCGGCAAUGGGCGAAAGCCUGACCGAGCGACGCCGCGUGUGCGAUGAAGGCCUUUUGGUUGUAAAGCACUGUCGAAGGGGAGCAAGCCGCAAGGUUGAGAGUACCCUUGGAGGAAGCACGGGCUAAGUUCGUGCCAGCAGCCGCGGUAAGACGAACCGUGCGAACGUUAUUCGGAAUCACUGGGCUUAAAGGGUGCGUAGGCGGGUGGACAAGUCGAGGGUGAAAGCCUCUAGCUUAACUAGAGAAGUGCCCUCGAUACUGUUUGUCUUGAGAGAGAUAGGGGCACACGGAACUUCCGGUGGAGCGGUGAAAUGCGUAGAUAUCGGAAGGAACGCCGGUGGCGAAAGCGGUGUGCUGGAUCUUUUCUGACGCUGAGGCACGAAAGCUAGGGUAGCGAACGGGAUUAGAUACCCCGGUAGUCCUAGCCCCAAACGAUGAGUACUAGAUUGUGGACUGACAUGGGUUCACAGUCGAAGCAAAAGUAUUAAGUACUCCGCCUGGGGAGUAUGGUCGCAAGGCUGAAACUCAAAGGAA